Molecule: ribosomal RNA, 499 nt
Filed under: uncultured bacterium
Lineage: Bacteria
Description: partial 16S ribosomal RNA
Rfam family: Bacterial small subunit ribosomal RNA
Source: RNAcentral
GAUGAACGCUGGCGGCGUGCCUAAUACAUGCAAGUCGAGCGAACAGACGAGAGUGCUUGCACCCUCUGACGUUAGCGGCGGACGGGUGAGUAACACGUGGGUAACCUACCUAUAAGACUGGGAUAACUUCGGGAAACCGGAGCUAAUACCGGAUAAUAUUUAGCUUCGCAUGAAGCAAUAGUGAAAGACGGUUCUGCUGUCACUUAUAGACGGACCCGCGGUGUAUUAGCUAGUUGGUGAGGUAACGGCUCACCAAGGCAACGAUACAUAGCCGACCUGAGAGGGUGAUCGGCCACACUGGGACUGAGACACGGCCCAGACUCCUACGGGAGGCAGCAGUAGGGAAUCUUCCGCAAUGGACGAAAGUCUGACGGAGCAAUGCCGCGUGAGUGAAGAAGGUUUUCGGAUCGUAAAACUCUGUUGUAAGGGAAGAACAAGUACGUUAGUAACUGAACGUACCUUGACGGUACCUUACCAGAAAGCCACGGCUAACUACGUG